GGAGGAGCAGAUGAAUGGCUUCUACAGGGUGUUCUCCAUCCUGAAAUACCCUGUCAAGUAAAAUGAGAAAUAUAUCUGCUACAUAACAGAGACAGAUGUGAACGACCAGCUUUUCAGAAUCAUCCACAAGUACCCAAAGGGAUGAGGAAUGCUUUUAUAAAGAGAAUGAAAUCAUUGGCACUGCCUGCUGAUGGGUGGCUCUGCAAGGUAGCCACAUUGGCCUUGGCCACUGUCCUCUGGCUCCCGACAUCAGGACUUACCUCAAUGCAGAGACAGAUUCUAUCACAUUCUCUAUGUGUCUUUUCAGACUGAAGAAUCUAGGUUGGCUCAGGCCACCUUCACACGGAAGCCUCUCCCCUUCACUGCUGCUCACAUGUCAUCUCCGGAAUGCCUCAUGCUGCCUAUGCUUAGGGCUUUCUUGAGGUGGCCCAGACACAGCAUAGCACACUAGAUGCUUGGUUUCUAUAGAAUGAUCAGUUCCUGUGUUCUGCAAUGGUCUUGUCUAGUCAUAGCAGAAGUAUAGCUGUAUAGUAAGCACUUACAGAGUUAGAAACAUGUUAGGCCUGUUCAUAUAGGACUGAAAAUCAUCUCACAAAGAUCUGUGAGGAUUAGGGAUUCAUCCCUGUUUGCACUGAGGAGACUGUGACUUCAAGAGCUGGGCCAUGACUGAGGUAAGAGUCAGACCCAGGUGGCUCCAACUCUGGUACUUGAGAGAGGUACUUCCGUUCUCAUGGUCCACAGUGACGAGUUGGAGAGUCUCCCCUGUGACAUACCACACUGCCUUCUCAACACAGGAAUACCCAGUGACUCCACUGCUACUGACAGGGUCUUUCGGGCUCCCCAUUACGAAAGCAACACUCCUCAGAGUGAUUCCUGGGAGUUCCAAAGAUAUCUUGUCACUCUUCCUAAAAUGUGUUUUUGUAAGGCU
Molecule: small RNA, 928 nt
Filed under: Pongo abelii (Sumatran orangutan)
Lineage: Eukaryota; Metazoa; Chordata; Mammalia; Primates; Hominidae
Description: processed transcript
Source: RNAcentral